Molecule: transfer RNA, 63 nt
Filed under: Prolachesilla sp. GRA2sp1LA
Lineage: Eukaryota; Metazoa; Arthropoda; Insecta; Psocodea; Lachesillidae
Also listed under: 1 other name
Description: tRNA-Thr
Rfam family: tRNA
About the family: Transfer RNA (tRNA) molecules are approximately 80 nucleotides in length.
Source: RNAcentral
GUUUUAAUAAUUUAAUAUAAAAUAUUGGUCUUGUAAACCAAAAAUGAAAUUUUUCCUAAAACU